GAUGAAGAACGUAGCGAAAUGCGUUAAGUAAUGUGAAUUGCAGAAUUCAGUGAAUCAUCGAAUCUUUGAACGCACCUUGCGCCCUUUGGCCAUUCCGAAGGGCAUGCCUGUUUGAGUAUCAUGAACACCUCAACUCUCAUGGCUCGCCAUGAUGAGCUUGGACUUUGGGGGUCUUGCUGGCCUGUGGUCGGCUCCUCUCAAAUGGAUCAGCUUGCCAGUGUUUGGUGGCAUCACAGGUGUGAUAACUAUCUGCGCUUGUGGUUUUCCAUCAGAUAACCUUCAGUGAUGGAGGUUCGCUGGAGCUCAUAAACGUCUCCCCUAAGCGGGGACAGCCCUUUGAAUGUUUGAUCUCAAAUCAGGUAGGACUACCCGCUGAACUUAAGCAUAUCAAUAAGCGGAGGA
This 402-nucleotide unclassified non-coding RNA is filed under the name soil metagenome. Its description in RNAcentral is "partial contains 5.8S ribosomal RNA, internal transcribed spacer 2, and large subunit ribosomal RNA". The stretch from base 1 to 121 matches the Rfam family "5.8S ribosomal RNA", at positions 35 to 154 of the family's 154-position model. The record is from RNAcentral.